Molecule: ribosomal RNA, 253 nt
Filed under: uncultured bacterium
Lineage: Bacteria
Description: partial 16S ribosomal RNA
Rfam family: Bacterial small subunit ribosomal RNA
Source: RNAcentral
UACGUAGGGGGCAAGCGUUGUCCGGAAUCAUUGGGCGUAAAGCGCGUGUAGGCGGCUCGGUAAGUCCGCUCUGAAAGCCCCGGGCUCAACCUGGGAACCGCGCUUGAGACUGGAGAACUAGAGUUCGGGAGAGGAUGGUGGAAUUCCCAGUGUAGAGGUGAAAUUCGUAGAUAUUGGGAAGAACACCGAUGGCGAAGGCAGCCAUCUGGACCGACACUGACGCUGAGGCGCGAAAGCGUGGGGAGCAAACAGG